UCCUCGAAAUAGCUUUAGGGCUAGCCUCAAAGGGGAAGUGAGAUGGAGGUAGAGCACUGAAUGGACAAGGGGCUUAUAUAAGUUACCGAAGCCUAUCAAACUCCGAAUGCCAUACUCAUAACUUUGGGAGUCAGACUAUGAGGGAUAAGCUUCAUAGACAAAAGGGAAACAGCCCAGACCACCAGCUAAGGUCCCAAAAUACGUAUUAAGUGUAAAAGGAUGUGAAGUUACACAGACAACCAGGAUGUUGGCUUAGAAGCAGCCAUACAUUUAAAGAGUGCGUAAUAGCUCACUGGUCGAGUGACUUUGCGCCGAAGAUUUCCGGGGCUUAAAUACGUUACCGAAGCUGUGGGAUUCGCAUAUUCUUGAUUCUAGACUUAAGACAAAAAUAAGCAAAGAGGAAAUCUUUGUCGAAAACUAACCUAAAUUCUAAAAAAAGAAGUUAAAAGUUUUCGACUGGGAUUCACAAAAAGCUUAAAUAAUAAGUUUUAAGUACGGAAUCAAGAAUAUGCGAAUCGGUAGAGGAGCAUUGUGUAGUAGGAAGAAGGCAUACCGGAAGGAGUGCUGGACAAGACACAAGAGAGAAUGCUGGCAUAAGUAGCGAGAGGUGAGUGAGAAUCUCACCCGUCGAAAGCCUAAGGUUUCCUGAGGAAGGCUCGUCCACUCAGGGUAAGUCGGGACCUAAGCCGAGGCAGAGAAUGCGUAGGCGAUGGACAACAGGUUAUAAUUCCUGUACUAGUGUUAAGCGUAAUAAGAGAAGUGGGGACGCAGGAGGAUAAGUGAAGCGCACGGAUGGAAAGGUGCGUCCAAGUACGUAGGUAGGUAUUGUAGGCAAAUCCGCAAUACUGAAGAUCUGAGGUACGAUGGGGAUCGAAAAACAAGUAGAGAAGGAGCUGAAUCCACACUGCCAAGAAAAGCCACUAUCAAGCAAGACACUACCCGUACCGCAAACCGACACAGGUAGGCGAGGAGAGAAUCCUAAGACGCGCGGAAGAACCUUUGUUAAGGAACUCGGCAAAAUGGCCCCGUAACUUCGGGAUAAGGGGUGCCAGGGUAAGUGAAAUAUCCAAGCGAUAGAGUAGUGAGAACCUGGCCGCAGUGAAAAGGCCCAAGCGACUGUUUACCAAAAACACAGGUCUCUGCUAAGUCGAAAGACGAAGUAUAGGGGCUGACACCUGCCCGGUGCUGGAAGGUUAAGGGGAAAGGUUAGCCGAAAAGGCGAAGCUUUGAACUUAAGCCCCAGUAAACGGCGGCCGUAACUAUAACGGUCCUAAGGUAGCGAAAUUCCUUGUCGGGUAAGUUCCGACCCGCACGAAAGGUGUAACGAUUUGGGCACUGUCUCAACAAAGGAUCCGGUGAAAUUGUAGUAUACGUGAAGAUGCGUAUUACCCGCGACAGGACGGAAAGACCCCGUGGAGCUUUACUGCAGGCUGACAUUGGACUUUGGGAUCACUCGUACAGGAUAGGUGGGAGGCUAGGAAUCAUAUGCGCCAGCAUAUGAGGAGCCGGCGUUGGGAUACCACUCUUGUGAUACUAGAGUUCUAACCUGAUACCAUGAAACUGGUAUAGGGACACUGUCAGUUGGGCAGUUUGACUGGGGCGGUCGUCUCCAAAAGAGUAACGGAGGCGCUCAAAGGUUUCCUCAGCACGGUUGGAAAU
This 1659-nucleotide ribosomal RNA is filed under the name Vibrio parahaemolyticus. RNAcentral's name for it is "partial 23S ribosomal RNA". It matches the Rfam family "Bacterial large subunit ribosomal RNA", at positions 856 to 2338 of the family's 2925-position model. The record is from RNAcentral. Lineage: Bacteria; Pseudomonadati; Pseudomonadota; Gammaproteobacteria; Vibrionales; Vibrionaceae.